GGGGUUGUGGCUCAGUGGUAGAGCACUUGCCUAAUAUGUGCAAGGCUCUGGCUUUAAUCCUCAGCAUCCCUU
Molecule: non-coding RNA, 72 nt
Organism: Ictidomys tridecemlineatus (thirteen-lined ground squirrel)
Lineage: Eukaryota; Metazoa; Chordata; Mammalia; Rodentia; Sciuridae
Source: Rfam